AGAGUUUGAUCCUGGCUCAGGAUGAACGCUGGCGGCGUGCUUAACACAUGCAAGUCGAACGAAGCGAGAACUAAAGCGCAAGCAGAGGUUCUUGACUGAGUGGCGGACGGGUGAGUAACGCGUGGAUAACCUGCCUUUCACAGGGGGAUAACAGCUGGAAACGGUUGCUAAUACCGCAUGAGCCUCUUUUGUCGCAUGACGGGAGAGGGAAAGAGAAAUCGGUGAGAGAUGGAUCCGCGUCCGAUUAGCUAGUUGGAGGGGUAACAGCCCACCAAGGCGACGAUCGGUAGCCGACCUGAGAGGGUGGACGGCCACAUUGGGACUGAGACACGGCCCAAACUCCUACGGGAGGCAGCAGUGGGGAAUAUUGCACAAUGGGGGAAACCCUGAUGCAGCAACGCCGCGUGAGUGAGGAAGUAUUUCGGUAUGUAAAGCUCUAUCAGCAGGGAAUAGAAAAGAAGGUACCUGAAAAAGAAGCCCCGGCUAACUACGUGCCAGCAGCCGCGGUAAUACGUAGGGGGCAAGCGUUAUCCGGAUUUACUGGGUGUAAAGGGAGCGUAGACGGAAAGGCAAGUCAGAAGUGAAAACCCAAGGCUCAACCAUGGGACUGCUUUUGAAACUGUCAAACUAGAGUACGGGAGAGGUAAGAGGAAUUCCUAGUGUAGCGGUGAAAUGCGUAGAUAUUAGGAGGAACACCAGUGGCGAAGGCGUCUUACUGGACCGAAACUGACGUUGAGGCUCGAAAGCGUGGGGAGCAAACAGGAUUAGAUACCCCUGGUAGUCCACGCGGUAAACGAUGAAUACUAGGUGUUGGGGUAAAGAAACCUCGGUGCCGCAGCAAACGCAAUAAGUAUUCCACCUGGGGAGUACGUUCGCAAGAAUGAAACUCAAAGGAAUUGACGGGGACCCGCACAAGCGGUGGAGCAUGUGGUUUAAUUCGAAGCAACGCGAAGAACCUUACCAAGUCUUGACAUCCCGAUGAAUAGUAGGGAAAUCUAUUAGCCCUUCGGGGCAUCGGAGACAGGUGGUGCAUGGUUGUCGUCAGCUCGUGUCGUGAGAUGUUGGGUUAAGUCCCGCAACGAGCGCAACCCUUAUAUUUAGUAGCCAGCAGGUGAAGCUGGGAACUCUAGAUAGACUGCCAAGGAUAACUUGGAGGAAGGCAGGGACGACGUCAAAUCAUCAUGCCCCUUAUGAUUUGGGCUACACACGUGCUACAAUGGCGGAAACAAAGGGAAGCGAAGCCGUGAGGUGAAGCAAAACUCAGAAAUACCGUCUCAGUUCGGAUUGUAGGCUGCAACUCGCCUACAUGAAGCUGGAAUCGCUAGUAAUCGCAGAUCAGAACGCUGCGGUGAAUACGUUCCCGGGUCUUGUACACACCGCCCGUCACACCAUGGGAGUUGGAAAUGCCCGAAGUCAGUGACCCAACCUGAAAAGGAGGGAGCUGCCGAAGGUGGAGCCAGUAACUGGGGUGAAGUCGUAACAAGGUAACC
Molecule: ribosomal RNA, 1490 nt
Filed under: uncultured bacterium
Lineage: Bacteria
Description: bacterial SSU rRNA
Rfam family: Bacterial small subunit ribosomal RNA
Source: RNAcentral